AAUAGGCUUUCAGCGUUCUCUGGCAGAGUGCGGAGCGGACGCAAUCGUCUGUGGUGAAACGCACCACCCCUACCAUCUCAUCUUCCUCAAAACGCGACAGCGCGUCGCUCAGACCGGACUGCACCCCGCGGGGCAAGUCACACUGAGUCACAUCACCGUUGACGAUGACCGUCACAUUUUCCCCGAGGCGCGUU
Molecule: non-coding RNA, 194 nt
Organism: Kluyvera intermedia
Lineage: Bacteria; Pseudomonadati; Pseudomonadota; Gammaproteobacteria; Enterobacterales; Enterobacteriaceae
Source: Rfam